CAUGUGUUCAUCUUUACAAACCAAUUUGGUCCUGGUCAUUUUACUGUAUUCCUACUUCACUUAUACCGUAUCCUCUUCUCUGUUUCCCUCCUCGUGUCAGCUGCAGGGACAGUUUCAUCUAAAUGGAAUGAACAAGGUUGGAGAUAUCAUUCUGGGGGGACUGUUUCCAGUUCACUUUUUCUCAAGUGUUCCUCAUCCAUCUUUUACCUCAGAGCCACAACAGCCUACUUGCCAUAGGUGAGUUAUUUUGCCACAUGUUCUUGUUUGAGUGACCAUCGAAAAUAUCCAUCCUUCUUUAGGACAAUCCCAAGUGAUGCUUUCCAGGUAAAAUUCAAUCAGCAGAAUUAUUACAAUUGCCAGUAGAUGAUAAGUAGCUAAUCCAUUGAAAGUUUUCUUAUUAUCUAUGCUCUCA
This 412-nucleotide long non-coding RNA is filed under the name Oreochromis niloticus (Nile tilapia). Its description in RNAcentral is "lncRNA (ENSONIG00000027675.1)". The record is from RNAcentral. Lineage: Eukaryota; Metazoa; Chordata; Actinopteri; Cichliformes; Cichlidae.